Long non-coding RNA from Drosophila miranda, 230 nucleotides. RefSeq lists it as uncharacterized. The record is from RefSeq and is a predicted model, not a curated record. The transcript has 3 exons. Lineage: Eukaryota; Metazoa; Arthropoda; Insecta; Diptera; Drosophilidae.
CGCAUCCAAGUGGCUGCUGGUCCGGCCACCCAGGAUGCGCUGUCAGGUGGAUUGGCCUGGCCUCCUCGGCCACGUUCUUCGUCAAUUUGUAGUUGCGUUUUGAAUGGCUGCUGGUCCGGCCACUCAGGUGCCUUUCGUUGAUUUGGAUGUUGUUGCUGGCGACCCUUGUCUGACUUGUGUUGGCGUAAGAGACGUUUGCGGGAUUUGCUGGCGUCCGGCGGCUCAACACC